Molecule: ribosomal RNA, 450 nt
Filed under: uncultured bacterium
Lineage: Bacteria
Description: bacterial SSU rRNA
Rfam family: Bacterial small subunit ribosomal RNA
Source: RNAcentral
UCAAGAAACUUCCACAAUGGGCGAAAGCCUGAUGGAGCGACGUCGCGUGAUGGACGAAGUGCUUCGGCACGUAAACAUCUUUUAUGUGGGAUGAAAUUAUUGACAGUACCACAUGAAUAAGGGGCUCCUAACUCUGUGCCAGCAGCCGCGGUAAUACAGAGACUGCAAGCGUUAUUCGGAUUCACUGGGCGUAAAGGGUGCGCAGGCGGUUGGGUGUGUCAGAUGUGAAAUCCCGAGGCUUAACCUCGGAACUGCGUCUGAAACUACUCGACUAGAGUACUGGAGAGGGUAACGGAAUUCACGGUGUAGCAGUGAAAUGCGUAGAUAUCGUGAGGAACACCAGCGGCGAAGGCGGUUACCUGGACAGUUACUGACGCUCAGGCACGAAAGCAUGGGGAGCAAAAGGGAUUAGAUACCCUUGUAGUCCCUGAGCGGGCUGGCAAGGCGCAU